AUGUGGUUUAAUUCGUAUGCAACGCGAAGAACCUUACCUAGGCUUGACAUGCAGGGGACGAGGUGUAGAAUACAUCCUUCCUUCGGGACCCUGCACAGGUGCUGCAUGGCUGUCGUCAGCUCGUGUCGUGAAAUGUUGGUUAAGUCCCGCAACGAGCGCAACCCCUGUCUUUAGUUGCCAUCAGGUUAUGCUGGGGACUCUAGAGAGACUGCCGGUGACAAACCGGAGGAAGGUGGGGAUGACGUCAAGUCAUCAUGGCCCUUACGGGCUGGGCUACACACGUGCUACAAUGGCGGUGACAAUGGGAAGCAAUGGCGCGAGCCGGAGCCGAUCCUUAAAAACCGUCUCAGUUCGGAUUGCACUCUGCAACUCGAGUGCAUGAAGGUGGAAUCGCUAGUAAUCGAGGAUCAGCAUGCCUCGGUGAAUACGUUCCCGGGCCUU
Molecule: ribosomal RNA, 441 nt
Filed under: uncultured Rhodospirillales bacterium
Lineage: Bacteria; Pseudomonadati; Pseudomonadota; Alphaproteobacteria; Rhodospirillales
Description: bacterial SSU rRNA
Rfam family: Bacterial small subunit ribosomal RNA
Source: RNAcentral